CGGUUUCGAAUUUGAGAUCUUGAGAGUUGUUGGACAGGCUUUGGGAAGGCGUUUCAAGUGAGAAAGAAAGGAAGUGAUUGUGCAAGUGGUGAUGGGUUUUAUGCAAUGAAAGUGAUCAAGAAGGAUAUUAUUAUCAAAAAGAAUCAUUUCGAUUACAUGAAGGCUUAGAGGGAAAUCCUCACCAAAAUUGUGUAUCCCUUUAUUGUUCAGCUUCAUUACUCUUUCCAAGUUCUUUUUGCUCUCUCCGAGAUUUUGGAUUAUGUCCACCGAGAGAGAGAAAGAGGCGUUUGGAUGUCUAGAAAGUGCUGGGAUUUUCUGGGAAAAUAUUGGUGUUAAAG
This 338-nucleotide unclassified non-coding RNA is filed under the name Hevea brasiliensis (rubber tree). Lineage: Eukaryota; Viridiplantae; Streptophyta; Magnoliopsida; Malpighiales; Euphorbiaceae. The record is from RNAcentral.